AGAACACACAGAUAUACACUACGUAUCUUCUGCAGUUUGCUGUUUUCACUCAGCAAUAUGUCUUAAGGAUCUUUUCGUGUUGAUACAUUUUGAUCAAUUUCCUCUCGAAACGGUUUCCAGGGCCCUGGUUAAUUGUGGAGCCAACCUGGUGUGUGGCAGCCAGGUCGGGCUGGUGUCUUCAGAGUGGCUGUGUCAGAAGUGCCUCGUGUAUGACAGAAACGCAGGCCAGCUGGAACAUCCCCAGGCGUUCUGUCCUGGAUCAAGCAAGAGGAAGGGGCAAGUGGGAGGAGCCAGCAGGGCCCACAGGAGACCACUGUGGCACACCUGUGCUCAGGCAGCAUGGUGCUGGGCGCUGCAGGGGCUCAUUAAUGCGUGAGACACAGAUUCCACUCAGGAGAGAGAAGACGAACACAGACACAGUACACAGUGGGAAGGGGCACUGCCAUGUCUGCAGCCAGAGAGCCCUUUCAGAAUCUGACCCAAAAGAUGGCCAGUGUUCUAAGAAAAAGCACAUAUGCUUACGAUGUGCAAACAGCUGAAGGUGUUCUUUCAACUAUAGUAAAAGGGGUGUCUCGGUGGCCACAGGCGGCCCAGAUGAAGAGACCUGUCUGGGCCGCAGAGAGAAG
RNAcentral lists this long non-coding RNA (626 nucleotides) under Pan troglodytes (chimpanzee). RNAcentral describes it as "long non-coding RNA NONPTRT015925". The record is from RNAcentral. Lineage: Eukaryota; Metazoa; Chordata; Mammalia; Primates; Hominidae.